GCUGGAUCUAGACUGGUCUGGGAUCACUUCUGCAGCAUCCUGUGAAUCAAGGAACCCUUCCAGAAUCAAUUGGCAAGGGUGCCUCGGUACAGAAUCCACAGCAGUGGGUCCUGGAAUACCCUGGGCUAAGAAGUGCAGAGAUGGGCCUGCUACAGAGACUAACCAGCAAGACAGCCAUUGACGGAUCUGCUUUACACAGAAGCAUGGAACCUGGGAAGUGGAUCAGCACUGAGAGACCACCUACUCCAACUCCUGCUUUCCAGAUGAAGAACUGGGUUCUAAAGAGGAAAAGUGUCUGCAUGUGUUCAUAGGCACGCUCGCCUGGACACAGUGUGAUUUCCUGUCAUUAUCCAGAAGUCCAGGGAGGGAACACGAGGACCAUUUGCUGCAGCUCUGGAACUACUGGUCACUCUGCAGAGACAAGGGUCCCUCCGAACAGUCGAGGGAGAGGCUCUGAACUCUACACCACCAGCAGUUCCCUUUUCCAGGCUGACCUUUGAGGAACAGACCCUGUCUCCCUCCUGGAGACAGGGAGCCCUCUCAGGAAGGGGCGUGCCUGUGAGGGCAGGGGGUGAGGAGGGGUUUGCCGUGUGGUGGGAGGAAGGCUUCAGCAGAAAUGCCAGAGGGGUGUUAGGAGAGGCAGAAAUCGCUUGGGGAUUUCUCCCUGUCCUAGAGGAAGAUAAACCGAGGCUUAGACUGAGAUCACGUUCAACAUCACCCAGGCAAUCCAGCGGUAUUACAGUGGCUUGAAGGAGAGAGUCCCAGCUUCCCAACCUGGACUCACCCUGCAGAUGGCCUCUCUGCCUCCCUCUACGCAUGCAGAUUGCUCCCCUGGACGUGACCCAGAUGCUCUGGAGAAAGCACAUGUCAGCACUUUGGGAGGACGGGCCUGGUCUCCUGAGAUGCCACUUGCUGGGCUCGCUGCGUUGGGCUGACUCUGGGCCCACGUGUUUUCCAAAGCCCAGUGACAGGCAUUUAGUUCCUCUUAGCACCCCCUGUGGAAGAACGCAGAAGCAUGCGUGACAUGGGUCUCAUAAGGCUCGAGGAGGGCUGGGGGCUGUUUGUGGCAGUGGGCAGCCGUCAGUAACCAUCCAGAAGGUGGGGCCAUCCCCAGUGUGCAUUCACGUCAGCUCCUGGAGUUCUGGAAAGGCUGGGGCUAGAGGAUGGGGGCUGAGCCUCUUCACUCCGGGAAGAUCCCUCUUCCUUUCUCACUGCAGGAUUGAGUAGAGCAGCCAAGGCAGUCCUGUGGAAGGGCGGGAGGCCUGGAGAGGGGUGGCACCUGACCGGGUAUUGAAUGGUGGUGAUGAGGGGAGGAGGAAGAGAUUGGGCGGUUGCCUCAGGAGAGCCAUAAAGCAUGAGAGCUGGAAGGGAUUCUAGAGAUCUCUCUCCCACAUUCCUCAUUCCACAGAGAGGAGGCUCUGAUUCCCAGAGAGGGAAAGUCCUUGCCUAUAGGUUCACUAACUCUCAGCAGCUUUGAGGCCUUUGUAUUUUCAGGCUGAACAAAUGCAUUCAUUACAUAUUACAGUGUAAGAAGUACUCCCCAAAUCAGAGUUCUGCGUUCCUGGGGACCCGGAAGACGAGUGUGUCUUAACUGGGUGCCCUGGCUCUGAGCUUCUUAGCAUGCAGCUACCUCACUGGAAGGCUUCGCUGGGGGAGAUCUGUUGAUAGGCUCACUUGUUGUCAGAGUUCCGCUCCUUACAGACUGUUGAGCCAACAUCUUCUGUUCCCCUCUGGCUGAUGGCCAGUGGCCUCCCUAAGUUCCCAGCCAUAUAUCACUCUCCACAUGGCGGCUCCCAACAUGGCAGUUGCUUCCAUCGGGGUGAGUGAAUGAGAGCAGGAGAGGUGAGCAAGACUGACACCAGAGUCUUCAACAAACUUGAGGUGCAUGUUAUCGCUUUUGCUGAGUCUUGCUCACUGAAGUCAGCCACAGUGCCUAGACCACACUCCUGAACAUCAGGGGCCAGAUUCCUUAGGACCAUCCCCAAAGCUGCCUACCACACCAAGGGCUUUCUCUAGCGUGGGCCCCUUCCUACACAAUAGAGCAGAAAGGGCUGGAAGCUUGCUCCAAAGAGGCGGGUGUUUGUUUUGUAGCUCUUCUGCUCUGUAUUUCACUGAGAGAAAACCCUCUUCUUCUCAAGGAAGGGAAACAAGAGUUAGUAGCAGAAAGGACACUUUCCUCCCCAGACAGAAGCAAUCAUUACACUGGGUAGUAAAUACCAUUCUCUUCUGAAAUAACAGUUUCUUUCUUUCUUGUCAGUCAGUUGCUUGGUGAGAAGAUAGAAUAAGGAAGGGGUUUGAUUUAGAAACUGAAAAUCUGAAUCUUAUUAUCAAAUGAAACCCCGGACAAGUUUAGUCAAAUGACAUGUACACCUUUCACAGUUAAUUCUUUCAUUAAGAAUCACAAAAUCAAUAAAAAUGACCCCAUUAGGAAGUCAAAUGAGGACCUUCUUUCUCAUGGUACACCCUACACUUUAUAAUAUGGUGGCCAUUGUGACAUGGCAGGAAACAGAAAUAACUGGUAGCAUUCUGGUGGAAGAGAAGUCAAACUUCUUUUUAUUUUCUGAUUGUAUUAUGAUACAUUGGUUUGCUGUCAUGACAAAAUACCAUGGAUUUUGUGAUUUAAGCAACAGAAAUUAAUUUUCUUGGACUGGGGAUAUGGCUCAGUGAUAGAGUACUUGCCUAGCAUGCGCAAGACCCUGAGUUCAAUCCCCAGCAUUGCAAAACA
Molecule: long non-coding RNA, 2725 nt
Organism: Sciurus carolinensis (gray squirrel)
Lineage: Eukaryota; Metazoa; Chordata; Mammalia; Rodentia; Sciuridae
Exons: 3
Source: RefSeq, a predicted model, not a curated record